AUUGAACGCUGGCGGCGUGCUUAACACAUGCAAGUCGAACGCGAAAGGGACUUCGGUCCUGAGUAAAGUGGCGCACGGGUGAGUAACGCGUGGAUAAUCUGCCCUUAUGAUCGGGAUAACAGUUGGAAACGGCUGCUAAUACCGGAUACGCUCAAAAUGAACUUUUUGAGGAAAGAUGGCCUCUGCUUGCAUGCUAUCGCGUAAGGAUGAGUCCGCGUCCCAUUAGCUUGUUGGCGGGGUAACGGCCCACCAAGGCAACGAUGGGUAGCCGAUUUGAGAGGAUGAUCGGCCACACUGGAACUGAAACACGGUCCAGACUCCUACGGGAGGCAGCAGUGGGGAAUAUUGCGCAAUGGGCGAAAGCCUGACGCAGCGACGCCGCGUGAGGGAUGAAGGUUUUUCCGGAUCGUAAACCUCUGUCAGAAGGGAAGAAACUACAUUGUGCUAAUCAGCAGUGUACUGACGGUACCUUCAAAGGAAGCACCGGCUAACUCCGUGCCAGCAGCUGC
RNAcentral lists this ribosomal RNA (509 nucleotides) under uncultured bacterium. RNAcentral describes it as "bacterial SSU rRNA". It matches the Rfam family "Bacterial small subunit ribosomal RNA", at positions 30 to 518 of the family's 1533-position model. The record is from RNAcentral.